Molecule: ribosomal RNA, 253 nt
Filed under: uncultured bacterium
Lineage: Bacteria
Description: partial 16S ribosomal RNA
Rfam family: Bacterial small subunit ribosomal RNA
Source: RNAcentral
UACGGGGGGGGCAAGCGUUGUUCGGAAUUACUGGGCGUAAAGCGUGCGCAGGCGGUUGUGCAAGACAGAUGUGAAAUCCCCGGGCUCAACCUGGGAACUGCAUUUGUGACUGCACAGCUUGAGUGCGGCAGAGGGGGAUGGAAUUCCGCGUGUAGCAGUGAAAUGCGUAGAUAUGCGGAGGAACACCGAUGGCGAAGGCAAUCCCCUGGGCCUGCACUGACGCUCAUGCACGAAAGCGUGGGGAGCAAACAGG